CCGAAAUAAACUCAUUUUAUUCGUGGAUACAUGUCUAACUUUAAUUUUAAAGCACCCAAACCCCUCAGCUAUGGUUCGAUGGCCCCCUCCACCUCCAUCUUGGGUAAAGAUGAAUGUUGAUGCAAGUUACUCGAUUUCAAACCAAAAAGCAGCAUCAAGUAUCAUUAUCCAAGACAAAAUGGGUCAAAUAAUGGGUUCUUGUUUUAGAAUUCAUAAUUUGUUUAGCUCGGUAUUUAUGGUUGAAGUGGUAGCGAUUCUUCAUGGUCUCUAAUUUACUUAAGAAAUGGGCUUUCUGCAUGUUGCCCUAGAAAGCAAUUCAAGGACUGUUAUGCUGAAAUUACAGUUAAAAGAGGAGGACUAUUUUGAAAUUCGACUGGUUACCUAGGAUGUGAAAGCAUUAUCUCGAAGCUUCUCAGCAAGGCGUUUUAACUUCAUCGCUAGGGGAGGAAACACUGUUGCACAUGCAAUGGCGGUAGAGGGUUUGAAAAGCACAGAGGACCAAUUCUGGGUUGAAGACGCGCCUUUGAGGGUCAUCGAUCUCCCAACAUCAGACCACUGUUUCAUAGAGCCACCAUGAGCUUCUGCAUAUUUGGGUCAUGUUUUUUGGAUUGAGGAUUUUAUUUAUUUAUCGAAGGAUAACCUCAAUCUCCCCUCCCGACUCGCUCUCCAUUAAUGGAUUUUAAUUCUCAUGAUGGGUUUUGUCGUUUGGUCCCUCUGGUAACUUGAAGGGAUUUUUUUUUGGAAGAGUUUGUCUUCCUUUUAGUUCUUUUUGAGAAUUAUUU
This 782-nucleotide long non-coding RNA is filed under the name Gossypium raimondii (Peruvian cotton). Its description in RNAcentral is "long non-coding RNA (GRAI_LNC007241)". The record is from RNAcentral. Lineage: Eukaryota; Viridiplantae; Streptophyta; Magnoliopsida; Malvales; Malvaceae.